RNAcentral lists this ribosomal RNA (482 nucleotides) under uncultured bacterium. RNAcentral describes it as "partial 16S ribosomal RNA". It matches the Rfam family "Bacterial small subunit ribosomal RNA", at positions 30 to 507 of the family's 1533-position model. The record is from RNAcentral.
AUUGAACGCUGGCGGCAUGCCUUACACAUGCAAGUCGAACGGUAACGGGCCUUCGGGUGCCGACGAGUGGCGAGCGGGUGAGUAAUACAUCGGAACGUGCCCGAUCGUGGGGGAUAACGAGGCGAAAGCUUUGCUAAUACCGCAUACGAUCUACGGAUGAAAGCAGGGGACCGCAAGGCCUUGCGCGGACGGAGCGGCCGGUGGCAGAUUAGGUAGUUGGUGGGAUAAAAGCUUACCAAGCCGACGAUCUGUAGCUGGUCUGAGAGGAUGAUCAGCCACACUGGGACUGAGACACGGCCCAGACUCCUACGGGAGGCAGCAGUGGGGAAUUUUGGACAAUGGGCGCAAGCCUGAUCCAGCCAUGCCGCGUGCAGGAUGAAGGCCUUCGGGUUGUAAACUGCUUUUGUACGGAACGAAAAGCCUUCUUUUAAUACAGGAGGGUCAUGACGGUACCGUAAGAAUAAGCACCGGCUAACUACGUG